GAUAAACGCUAGCGGCAGGCUUAACACAUGCAAGUCGAGGGGCAGCAUAGAUUGUAGCAAUACAAUUGGUGGCGACCGGCGCACGGGUGCGUAACGCGUAUGCAACCUACCCGUCACAGGGGGAUAAUCCGGAGAAAUCUGGUCUAAUACCCCAUAACAUAUGGAUCGGCAUCGGUUCAUGUUGAAAUUUUCGGAGGUGACGGAUGGGCAUGCGUAGCAUUAGCUUGUUGGUGAGGUAACGGCUCACCAAGGCGACGAUGCUUAGGGGGACUGAGAGGGUUUCCCCCCAGACUGGUACUGAGAUACGGACCAGACUCCUACGGGAGGCAGCAGUGAGGAAUAUUGGUCAAUGGGCGCAAGCCUGAACCAGCCAUGCCGCGUGCAGGAUGACGGCUCUAUGAGUUGUAAACUGCUUUUGUACGAGGGUAAAGUGGGUUACGUGUAACCUUUUGAAAGUAUCGUACGAAUAAGGAUCGGCUAACUCCGUGCCAGCCGCCGCAGUAA
This 504-nucleotide ribosomal RNA is filed under the name uncultured bacterium. RNAcentral describes it as "partial 16S ribosomal RNA". It matches the Rfam family "Bacterial small subunit ribosomal RNA", at positions 28 to 523 of the family's 1533-position model. The record is from RNAcentral.